GUAAGGAAUAUUGCGCAAUGGAGGCAACUCUGACGCAGCCAUGCCGCGUGCAGGAAGAAGGCGCUACGCGUUGUAAACUGCUUUUAACCGGGAAGAAACCCCAGGACGUGUCCUGGGUUGACGGUACCGGAGGAAUAAGCACCGGCUAACUUCGUGCCAGCAGCCGCGGUAAUACGAAGGGUGCAAGCGUUAUCCGGAUUCAUUGGGUUUAAAGGGUGCGUAGGCGGAGCGUUAAGUCAGUGGUGAAAUCCUGCAGCUUAACUGUAGACUUGCCAUUGAUACUGGCGCUCUUGAGUGCGCUUGAAGUGGGCGGAAUGUGCCGUGUAGCGGUGAAAUGCUUAGAUAUGGCACAGAACACCAAUUGCGAAGGCAGCUCACUAAGGCGAUACUGACGCUGAGGCACGAAAGCGUGGGGAUCGAACAGGAUUAGAAACCCGAGUAGUCC
This 445-nucleotide ribosomal RNA is filed under the name uncultured bacterium. RNAcentral describes it as "partial 16S ribosomal RNA". It matches the Rfam family "Bacterial small subunit ribosomal RNA", at positions 354 to 796 of the family's 1533-position model. The record is from RNAcentral.